Long non-coding RNA from Mauremys reevesii (Reeves's turtle), 476 nucleotides. RefSeq lists it as uncharacterized. The record is from RefSeq and is a predicted model, not a curated record. The transcript has 3 exons. NCBI's taxonomy places the organism in Eukaryota, Metazoa, Chordata, Testudines, Geoemydidae.
CUGGCACUUAACCUUAAAAAGGUUGCAGUAAUAAGAAGCAAUAAGUACUAGCCAUCGCUGGAGAACAAGGUGUUAAACCAAAUGUUUCUGUGGUCUGACCUGGAACAUCCACAAGGAGCCUAAAGAACGAAGAUGCUGUUUUGAGAGAUUACAAAUAGUUUAUUGCUCUGAACUGCAGGUUUUGUAGAGUCCAGUAUGAAGUAAGAUUUGUGGAGACUUCUGGAGGACAGCUACAACUGUAAAACACAGCUGAAAGUGUGGUGGAAUGGAGGUGUAUGGCACUACUGGAUGUUCGAGAUGUUGUCAGGAGGAUUGUGUCAGAUAGGAACGGAUUCAACUGAAGUGCUUGUCAUUGGAAGGCCAUGUCUGAAUAUGCAAAUGUGGUUCAGCAAACACGGCUCUGUGCAAUCUCAUGAUAUUUAACUUAAGAAAUGGGCUUAUUUAGAACUGAAUAUCAGGACAUCUCUCAAGACAUC